RNAcentral lists this ribosomal RNA (443 nucleotides) under uncultured bacterium. RNAcentral describes it as "bacterial SSU rRNA". It matches the Rfam family "Bacterial small subunit ribosomal RNA", at positions 338 to 795 of the family's 1533-position model. The record is from RNAcentral.
CCUACGGGGGGCUGCAGUCGAGAAUAUUGGACAAUGGGCGAAAGCCUGAUCCAGCGACAUUGCGUGGAGGAUGAAGACGUUCGCGCCGUAAACUCCUUUUAUAGGGAAAGAAGUAAUUGACGGUACCCUAUGAAUAAGCGGGGGCUAAUUCUGUGCCAGCAGCAGCGGUAAUACAGAACCCGCAAGCGUUAUCCGGAUUUAUUGGGCGUAAAGUGUUCGUAGGCGGUUCGGAAAGUCUGAUAUCAAAUAUCCGGGCUCAACCCGGGGCGAGUAUUGGAAACUUCCGAACUUGAAGGUGCUAGGGGCUAUCGGAACGCACGGUGUAGGGGUGAAAUCCGUUGAUAUCGUGCGGAACACCAAAAGCGAAGGCAGAUAGCUGGGGCAUUCUUGACGCUGAGGAACGAAAGCGUGGGGAGCAAAAAGGAUUAGAUACCCCGGUAGUC